RNAcentral lists this ribosomal RNA (696 nucleotides) under Triticum aestivum (bread wheat). RNAcentral describes it as "partial small subunit ribosomal RNA". Lineage: Eukaryota; Viridiplantae; Streptophyta; Magnoliopsida; Poales; Poaceae. The record is from RNAcentral.
AUGACAAUAAUAGACUUCAUAGACGUGAUUGAUGAUAUCAUUGACUUGAGCAGCGAUGGGGAGAAUGUUGAACAGGAUGAAAUCCCAGCUCAGCCCCCGGCGACGAUGCUUGAUAGGCAGGAGGUGUUUGUCGAAGCUGGUGAUGGAAGGCAAGAGGCUGACGAGUCCGGAAAUACUAUCCAAGCUACCACAUGGUCCAUGUUUAGGGAGAAAGGGCCUCUUGAUACAACUGCAAACCAGAAUUGCGCUUCAAUGACAGUAUCACUCCCAAGCCCUGCUUCAGCGGCUUGGGAGGCUCAUCCCUCAUCACAGCCGGACCACACUGAAGAAGGGUCCUCUACUCGGUCCAGAAAUACUAUAAUAGAUACCACUGCAACACCGUCCUCGGUUGCAGAAAAAGGGCCUCUUGAUGCCACUGCAACACAGAAUUUUCCUCUAACAUCAGUGACAUUCCCAAGUGCCACUUUCACGACUCCAAAGGGUCUGACACAUGAAGGAGAUAAUGGAAGGCUGCUGAGGAUGUAUGGGAGACGUCCUAGGAAGAAGAAGAACUACCAUACCGAAACCCCUAGGAGAAGUCCUAGAGCUGGGAGUCGAUCGCAAAAGGCCCCGCAUGCUAGAGCCAGCAGAAGAAUCAACUGCCUCACCAAGCAAUGCAGAAUUUUCAAAAACCUGCUCGCCUGCACCCCCAACUAG